GCAUGUUUCUAGUAAUCUUCAACCUAUACUUACAUCUUUUUAACAUACAUCUCUGCCAUUAAAUCUCUUUGUUUAAUUAUUGUUUAACACUCUUUACGCCUAAGAGAUGGUCUCAGAAGCAGCCCUGAUCAGUUUUUCUCCCUCUUACUCAUGAAGCCCCUUAAUGUAUUCCAAGGUAUCAACUACGAAGGAUUUUACGUACUUAUCGUUUGUUUAUUUUUCAUUCAGUCAGUAUAUUCCAUGGGCCAGAAAUAGUCUAUGUUAUGCAGAUACAGUGGUGAAAGGUACACACUGUCCCUGUCCUCAUGAAGGGGACAACCCAGUGCAGGUGGAAGGAGCACUGGGGAAAUGCAGCUGAGAGAAAGGACAGACAACCCUCCAGGAACCACACUGGACUUCAGAGAGGCUUGUUGGCUGCUGUUCACCUGGCAGGCUUCUAGAUACCUGAGUACCCUUGGGCUUGGUGCCUGCUCCUCUCUCUAUUGACAUCCUCCCUCUAGGAUGCCUCAGUGAGUUCACUGCUGACUAUUUGUAGCUAAGGACGUGAGGUUUAUACCUCCAUCCAUUCAAACUCCUCCUGGGUCCAGACUCAUAUAUUCAAAUGUGAGCUUAACUCUCUGUAUUGACCUCUUUAUGCAUUAUAAUGAUACAUUCCUCAUAUGGCCAUCAUGAAAAGCAAACAUGAAAGAAAAAGCACAGGAGUGCCUGGCACCAGUGUAGGUACUCAAUGAACAUUAGCUGUUGGUAUUAUCCUUGACAUCCCCAUGUGGGGUGAAGUUUUAUUACCUGACAUCUCCAUGUGAAUAUCUAACACCUACACCAUGUUAUCUAGGCUAUGAAACAAUUCUUGGUUCCAACCACCAUUCUGUUCUUGUCGAUGAAUUUCUCAAGGCUUCGGUGAUGGGAGUGUGUGUUUUUCCACACAAUGAACGUGAUUAGGAAUGGUUGGCCAGGUCCUACACAAUAAAUUGCUCCAGCAUUCCUAUGGGUGACCAUUGAGACAAGUUUCAGCCAACGAAUGUAGCAAAGAAUUGGAACCACUCUCAGCUGUUCAUGCGAGUACUCUCAAUCCAGAAUAUCUGCUUAAAUACAGACCAGAGGAGGAGUUUGGGGCUUGACACCUGACAUCUUAACACCAGUCCCUGUUUCUUGAGGAAGGAAGAGGUAAAAUAAAUCAGCGUUUACUGUGUCCUUCUCCAUCCCCUGAAGUCUUCAUGAAGACCCUCUCAGAGAUGCAGCACACACAGAAUCCCAGCUGGAUUACAGACUUGAACCUGAAGACCUUAUGCAGAAUGACUAUUUAUGAACCACUAACUUAGUUCUAAAGCAGACCUGUCUAAUCUUUGGCUGAACGGCGAACUUCAGAAGCUUCUUUGAAGAUAUUUUCCUGGUCCUUGUUAUUCCACAAUUGACAGUGAGGCAUUUGGGCGUAAAAUUUUGAAUCACUUGACCCAGUUAUGUUCAGGCUGCAGGUUCUUUCCCAACUUCUGGAUGCUGUGGCUCAGAUGUCAGUUCAGAUUUUGAAGACUUUGCGGUGAUAUUUGGAUGUAAUCUAUGGGAGUGUCACUCAGUCUGGGACCUUGUUGGUGUUCUAACCCAUAAUGCAGUUCUCCAAGGAUUGAUCUACUUCUUAGGGUCAGAGCAAAGCACAUGCAACUAUGGGAGUGGGGGCGGGUAUGAAAAACUUUAUGGUAUCCCUCUCUUGAGCCGCCUGGUCUCUGUCUCUCUGAGGCUCUCUGAUGUCUGAGCAGCUACCCUCCUGGUCCACUGGCAAGAAUGUUGGGGCUUUAAUCUCUUCAUUCUGCCGUGCAAUUAAGUGACUGGGUCUGCCUAUGAGGCCAAAUAACGGUAAGAUGGAGAAAAUGUAACAGAGAUUCCUCUAUAUUAUUUGGUCCUUUUUUUUUUUUUAUAUAUACUUAGGUCAGAGAGAAGGCACACUGCUUCUGGUGAUACUUCCAAACAGGUAUGGAGAAAAAGGCAAUAACAGGUCGAUAGCUGCAUACUAGGUGUUAUGGAUUAAACUCUGUCUUCCCAAAAUGUAUAUAUCAGCUUGACUAGGCCAUGCUUCCCAGUAUUGUGCGAUUAUCCACCAUUUUGUCAGCUGGUGUGAUUUUCCAAUGUAUUGUAAAUCCUACCUCUAUGAUGUUAAUGAGCGAAGAUUUGAAGCAGUUAUGUUAAGGAGGCAGGGUUGAAUCUACAAGAUUAAGUUGUGUUUUAAGUCAAUCUCUUUUGAGAUAUAAAAGAGAAAAGAGCAGAGAGACGGGGGACCUCAGUACCACCAAGAAAGAAGUGUCAGGAGCAGUGCAUCCUUUGGACCUAGGAUCCCUGUGCUGAGAACCUUCUUGUCCAGGGGAAGAUUGGUGACAAAGACCUUCCCCUAGGAGUGACAGAGAGAAAAAGUCUUCCCCUGGAAUUGGCACCUUGAAUUUGGACUUACAGAGCCUCCUGGACUGUGAGGGAAUACUUUUCUUUGUUAAAGUUAUCUGUUUGUGGUAUUUCUGUUACAGGAGCACUAGAUAUCUAAGACACUAGGUACCAGGAGAUGUACAUUUCCCAGCUCUUUCACUCCCAGGAACACUAUGACUAAGUAGCCAAUGCCAUAAAUCCAUCUGAGCAGACUAUUCUGAUUACUGCUUUGACUCUACUGUCUGUUAUGGUAACCACACCCACCUUGUCUUUGUUGAUUGAGUGCCACCACUUGGCUGCUGCCACCAUGGGGUCCAGUCAACUGCAUUGUAGUCAGGUGUCUUAAUUCAGUUAGGGCAGUUCUCACUGUGGACUCUUACUUACAUAAAAUAGCAACCACAGAAGUCUUCAACAAUGCUGGGGUUUGCUGCACAAAUUUGUACCUCACCGCUAUGGUAAAAAGAGAGCCCUCUGGGCACUCCGUGUGUGGGUCUGUGGGUCCAGCCUAAUAAAUCCAUUCUAACAUGCCAAUUUCCCUCAUCCUUUGGAUACCUUCUCCUACAUUAUACAAUGGCAGAUCUGCCAUUUCCACUUGAUUUAUUGUAGGCCACCACUUAAUCCAUGCUUCAGUAAACCAACCAAAUAAACUAUGAGAUCCUUUUCUAACCUCUCAAGCUGAAACACUGAGUGAAGAAUCUAUGCUUCCUGGGUCUAUAUCAAUAAACUCAGACUAAUCCAGCUUUAUGUUGCUUGCACCAUUAUCCCACACCCAUAAUAGCCAUUCCCACACAUAUUCACCAGGUUUCUGUAUGUAUGUAUUAGAAAAAUCAAGCAGUUCUUUUGGAGUUUAGCAUACCUUCUCCUGGGUCACACUUUAU
Long non-coding RNA from Loxodonta africana (African savanna elephant), 3284 nucleotides. RefSeq lists it as uncharacterized. The transcript has 6 exons. NCBI's taxonomy places the organism in Eukaryota, Metazoa, Chordata, Mammalia, Proboscidea, Elephantidae. The record is from RefSeq and is a predicted model, not a curated record.